AGGAUACACUGCUGCUGGGGACUAGGACCGACUGUCCCUACUCCCGGUACCUACGGCUGUGGCUAGGGAUCUGGGCCGGCUGCCCAGCAUCCCUGUAGGGCCGGCGGGGAGACCUUGGUCCAAUCUCCACCUGCCGGCUGGAAGUCCGACUUGAACAGUGAUACCCCAGAUAGCUAUGCCAUGGAGCCCAUUCGUAUAAAGAAAGACUAUGUGAAAGACUUUGGCUCCAUGGCAAUUGAAC
Pelobates cultripes (western spadefoot toad) is the source of this 241-nucleotide non-coding RNA. NCBI's taxonomy places the organism in Eukaryota, Metazoa, Chordata, Amphibia, Anura, Pelobatidae. The record is from the annotation of a GenBank genome assembly.